Molecule: ribosomal RNA, 1775 nt
Filed under: metagenome
Description: bacterial LSU rRNA
Rfam family: Bacterial large subunit ribosomal RNA
Source: RNAcentral
AGGGAACCGCCUGAACUGAAACAUCUAAGUAGGGCGAGGAAGAGACAUCAAACGAGAUUCCGUAAGUAGUGGCGAGCGAACGCGGAAGAGGGCAAACCGAGAGUAGAAAUACUUUCGGGGUACGGAGCGCAUUUAGGACUUAAGUUGUUAACCGAACGGCAUGGGAAGGCCGGUCAGAGAGUGUGAGAACCACGUAGGUGAAAACGGAAAGAGCUGCGCAGAUUCCAGAGUACGGCCAGACACGUGAAACCUGGUCGGAAGAUGGGGGGACCACCCUCCAACCCUAAAUACUACCCAGUGACCGAUAGCGUAUAGUACUGUGAAGGAAAGGUGAAAAGCACCCCGGGAGGGGAGUGAAAAAGAACCUGAAACCCUGUGCCUACAAGCACCUAGAGCGCGUCAAUGCGUGAUAGGGUACUUUUUGUAGAACGGUCCGGCGAGCGAUUGUAUGCAGCAAGGUUAAGGACUUAAGGUCUGGAGCCGAAGCGAAAGCGAGUUUGAAAAGGGCGUUAAGUUGCAUAUAAUGGGCCCGAAACCGGGUGACCUACCCAUGGUCAGGUUGAAGUGGAAGUAAAAUUCCAUGGAGGACCGAACCGACCUCCGUUGAAAAGGCGGCGGAUGAACUGUGGGUAGCGGAGAAAUUCCAAUCGAACCCGGAGAUAGCUGGUUCUCCCCGAAAUAGUUUUAGGACUAGCCUCAAGUUAGAUACCUGGAGGUAAAGCACUGAAUAGCCUAGCGGCCGAGAGGUUAGCGAAGCUUAUCAAACUCAGAAUGCCAGAGUAUUGAUGCUUGGGAGUCAGACAGUGUCAGAUAAAUGUCAUUGUCAAAAGGGAAACAGCCCAGAUCUACAGCUAAGGUCCCAAAGUCAGGUUAAGUGGAAAACGAUGUGAAGAUACGCAGACAACCAGGAUGUUGGCUCAGAAGCAGCCACUCAUUCAAAGAGUGCGUAAUAGCUCACUGGUCGAGCGUCUUUGCGCGGAGAAUUUAACGGGGCUAAACCUGACACCGAAGCUUAGGCAGCAUGUUUACAUGCUGGGUAGGGGAGCGUUGUAUACGCGGUGAAACAGUAGCGCAAGCGGCUGUGGAGUGUAUAGAAGUGAGAAUGCCGGAAUGAGUAGCGCGAAUGCAGUGAGAAUCUGCAUGGCCGAAAGCCUCAGGUUUUUGGAGGAAGGUUCGUCCGCUCCAAGUUAGUCGGGAGCUAAGGUGAGGCCGGAAGGCGUAGCCGAUGCACAGACGGUAGAGAUUCCGUCACCACCAAAAGAGUUAAGCACAGGGACACAUUUGAAGUCUCAGAGCCGGGUGUUGGUUCCGGUAGAGAUCGAGGGAAGUUAGUACCGAAGUCUGAGAUGGAAGAUGGCGAGAAAAGCUGUGUGUAUUUCUGAGGUGCCCGUACCGCAAACCGACACAGGUAGGUAGGAAGAAGAUUCUAAGGCCAACGGGAGAAGGGUUGUUAAGGAACUCGGCAAAUUGACCCCGUAACUUCGGGAGAAGGGGUGCUCCAGAGAUGGAGCCGCAGAGAAUCGGCCCAAGCAACUGUUUACCAAAAACACAGGUUUGUGCUAAAUCGAAAGAUGACGUAUACGAGCUGACGCCUGCCCGGUGCUGGAAGGUUAAGAGGAGAUGUGCAAGCAUUGAAUCGAAGCCCCAGUGAACGGCGGCCGUAACUAUAACGGUCCUAAGGUAGCGAAAUUCCUUGUCAGGUAAGUUCUGACCCGCAUGAAAGGCGUAAUGAUUUGGGCACUGUCUCAACAGCCCGCCCGGCGAAAUUGUAGUAC